AUCCUUGAAAGAGUGCGUAAUAGCUCACUGGUCAAGUGAUUCCGCGCCGACAAUUCAGCGGGGCUCAAGCCGUCCGCCGAAGCUGUGGCGUCCGCGCGUGUGCCGGGCGCCGGGCCUUGUGUCCGGUGCCGGGCGUGUGGAUGGGUAGGGGAGCGUUGUGCGUGCCGUGAAGCGUCGGGGUGACCCGGCGUGGAGUGCGCGCGAGUGAGAAUGCAGGCAUGAGUAGCGUUUUGACGGGUGGGAAACCCGUCCGCCGAAUAUCCAAGGGUUCCGGGGUCAAGUUGAUCUGCCCCGGGUGAGUCGGGUCCUAAGGCGAGGCCGACAGGCGUAGUCGAUGGUUGACGGGUUGAUAUUCCCGUACCGGCCCAGCAACGGUCCUGUCGAAUCGGGUGAUGCUAAGCACGCGAGAUGUCUCCGGCGCUUUCGGGUGCCGGUGGCGUCGAGUCUGUGAACCGAGUCUGUAGUAGACAAGCUGCGGAGGGACGCAGGAAGGUAGCUCGACAGCCGUCAUGGUAAGGCUGUCAAGUCUGUAGGGUGACUGGUAGGCAAAUCCGCUGGUCGUGUGCCUGAGAGAUGAUGAGAGGGGCCCUGUCAGCAGGGUCCGUGUUCGAGUGAUCCUAUGCUGCCUAGAAAAGCUUCGUGAGCGAGUUGUUGUGCCGCCCGUACCCCAAACCGACACUGGUGGAUAGGUAGAGAAUACCGAGGCGAUCGAGAUAAUCGUGGUGAAGGAACUCGGCAAAAUCCUCCCGUAACUUCGGGACAAGGGAGACUUGAGGCGUGAGGGGCCCGCGCGGCCCUCAGCGCCGGGAGUCGCAGUGAAUUGACCCAAGCGACUGCUUACUAAAAGCACAGGUCCGUGCGAAGUCGUAAGACGAUGUAUACGGACUGACUCCUGCCCGGUGCUGGAAGGUCAAGGGGAACCGUCAGCCUCUCGGCGAAGCGGUGAACUUAAGCCCCAGUAAACGGCGGUGGUAACUAUAACCAUCCUAAGGUAGCGAAAUUCCUUGUCGGGUAAGUUCCGACCUGCACGAAUGGAGUAACGACUUGGGUACUGUCUCCACCACGAGCUCGGUGAAAUUGCAUUACGAGUAAAGAUGCUCGUUACGCGCAGCAGGACGGAAAGACCCCGGGACCUUCACUACAGUUUGGUAUUGGUGAUCGGUGCGGCUUGUGUAGGAUAGGUGGGAGACUGUGAAGCGGCCACGCCAGUGGCCGUGGAGUCGUCGUUGAAAUACCACUCUGGUCGUUCUGGUUGUCUAACCUCGGACCGUGACCCGGUUCAGGGACAGUGCCUGACGGGUAGUUUGACUGGGGCGGUCGCCUCCCAAAGAGUAACGGAGGCGCCCAAAGGUCCCCUCAGCCUGGUCGGCAACCAGGUGUCGAGUGCAAGUGCACAAGGGGGCUUGACUGUGAGACGGACACGUCGAGCAGGGACGAGAGUCGGGACUAGUGAUCUUCUGGUGGCGUGUGGAAGCGCCAGAACUCAACGGAUAAAAGGUACCCCGGGGAUAACAGGCUGAUCUUGCCCGAGCGCUCACAGCGACGGCAUGGUUUGGCACCUCGAUGUCGGCUCGUCGCAUCCUGGGGCUGGAGUCGGUCCCAAGGGUUGGGCUGUUCGCCCAUUAAAGCGGCACGCGAGCUGGGUUCAGAACGUCGUGAGACAGUUCGGUCCCUAUCCGCUGCGCGCGUAGGAAUCUUGAGAAGGGCUGUCCUCAGUACGAGAGGACCGGGACGGACCAACCUCUGGUGUGCCAGUUGUUCCUCCAGGAGCAUGGCUGGUUGGCCACGUUGGGAAGUGAUAACCGCUGAAAGCAUCUAAGCGGGAAGCACGCUUCAAGAUGAGGAUUCCCCAGCCCCGUGCUGGUAAGGCCCCCGGCAGACCACCGGGUUGAUGGGUCGGACGUGGAAGCGCCGCGAGGCGUGGAGCUGACCGAUCCCAAACGGCCGAGAGGCUUGCCC
Molecule: ribosomal RNA, 1959 nt
Filed under: human oral metagenome
Description: bacterial LSU rRNA
Rfam family: Bacterial large subunit ribosomal RNA
Source: RNAcentral